This is a small nuclear RNA of Artibeus jamaicensis (Jamaican fruit-eating bat), 109 nucleotides long. The record is from RefSeq and is a predicted model, not a curated record. Lineage: Eukaryota; Metazoa; Chordata; Mammalia; Chiroptera; Phyllostomidae.
GUGCUCGCUCCAGCAGCGCACACACACUGACAGGGGAACAGUACAGAGAAGACUAGCAAGGCCCCUGCACAAGGAUGACGUGUAGAUUUGUGAAGUGUUCCGUGUUUUU